Molecule: long non-coding RNA, 2001 nt
Organism: Lutra lutra (Eurasian river otter)
Lineage: Eukaryota; Metazoa; Chordata; Mammalia; Carnivora; Mustelidae
Exons: 4
Source: RefSeq, a predicted model, not a curated record
GUUAACCCCCUCCCUGCCGGCCGCGGCCGCCCGGCCGGGGCCGCGCCCGCCGCUGGCACCGCGGCGCGCACCAGCCCCCUGCCCCCGCCCCCGCCCGCCCGGACUGCCUCCUCCGCGAGCUGUCAACAAAGGAGAAUCAGGUUUGGCAUCGGGAGGCCUCCGGGCUGCCCGCCCUGAGCCCAGCUCAGCCCGGACCCACCGGCCACCUUAAGUGGCCGAGGGGGCAACGACAAUCUGCCAGGGCCUGGGGAUUCGGGUGGAGGCCUUGUGAGCUCAGCUGGCGUAGCCCCCUGUGCGUAGAGCUCAGGACGCCUGCAGAGUGGGUAAGGGCAGUGGGGAUGUGCUCCCCUCACCUCCCCCACCCCUUCCUUAGCAUCACCUGUCAGCGCGCCCAUCCUGCACACCUCCAUCUUCAUCUUUAAUUUGAGUGAGGGGUGAGUGGGAAGGAACGGACUUUGGCAGAUGCGGUCGAGAACGGGGCCUCAGAAUCGGUGGGAGCAAAUUUCCUCUGCUCGUGAAUUUCAAAAAGCCAACAAGCUGUCAAAUGAGGUUUGAAGUUGUUAUUAUUAUUUGUCUAAUGCAAAGGUGAGCUUUGCUCUGAAGCUCAAGCUUCCAGCUCUAUUAGGGAUCCUGGGCACCUGGCAAGCGUGGGGGGACCCGAGGGGCGCUUUCCAUAUUCAGGCCCAGGGAUCUGGGCUGGCAGGGCAAUCAGAGGUGGAGGUAAAAUAACUUAUUUUAAUAACCUAAGGUGAGAGGUUUCUGGAUUCCGGAUGGCAAUGCCUCGGUUGCUUUUACGACCAUUGAUUCCGUGCGGUAGAGUCUCAGCAUGUCCGCAGUGCCUGGACGCGGCUUUCCGAAAGAGGCCUGCAAGCUAGACCCCAGCUCCAUACCCUUGGACCUGUCUAUGUCUUCGUGGAACUCAAGUUUCCUGGUGCCUCUCUGGCCUUUGAUGUCUUCUUCCUCAUCCCGUCCAGCUGGUGUCAAACCCAUCACCCCUGGGGACUCACGGAGACUCUGCCAAUGCCUUGAAAUUCAUCCUCAUUUCCACAAGGACAGACGGUCCCAGCCCAGCCCAGUUCUGGACAAGUAGGCGUGUGUUUAACAAUGAGAGCUGGCCUGGAGGAAAGAAGUUGCCAGCACAGGCACCUCUCUACUAGCUCCUGUCGCCUCUGCCCUGCACCACCGCCACAUAGGUGGCCAUGCCCGCCUCUCAAAAUCAUGGGAUAAUUGGGUGCAAUGUGUGUGACCCCCACUCCUUCCAGAGAGCCCGCCAGUCCGUCUUUGUGGGAACCCACAGGGAGCAGGGGGAGAAAGAAAGACAAGAACGAUAGCAGAAGAAUUUCUUCUUGCUUCGAACUGCAAGCUCUUCUGGGACAGAACAUUACACUCUCCCUCUGUCUGCCCCCAGCCUUCGACUUCUCUUUCCUGACUGACAGGUAGAGUACCUAACACAGAGCCCAGGCCCUCCCAGGGACUGGAGCUGGUAUGUGGUGGGAAGGACGAGGAGGGUCUGGUUGAAAAGUUAGACCCAGCCCCAGGGUCCUGUCUCUGGUUUGCCAAAAGGUAGAGGAGCGCAGCCGCUGAGGGCAGUUUGGAAGGCCUCAAGCCGGACCUGUGGGGGCUGGUCCAGGGCCCUGCAGGAGUGGGGGUAGGUGGGACCUCACCCAGGUCUGGCAGAGGGUCAAGUCCAUUGCCCCAUGCAAAAACAAAGAAACACAUUGCUUUAGUAAGUCAAAUACCCAGCCAUCCGGGUGCAGACCCCAGUGCCUGCUUCCAUGCUGUAAAUUUGGAGCAGCGUGGGAACUGAAAAGGUCCGAAAAGAAAUGAUCCAGAAAUGGCACGAGCCCUUGGCCAGAAGGAGACACUGCAUUAUCACCGACGUCACGAAACAGUUAAUAGGCACCAGAAUAAAAGUCUUUAGCCUUGCUUUCUGUCUUCUAAGUUUUGAAUUCCUAGAAGGUCCACGCUUUUCCCUCAGUGUCAGUUUGUGAAAUAGACUUU